This 227-nucleotide ribosomal RNA is filed under the name uncultured bacterium. Its description in RNAcentral is "partial 16S ribosomal RNA". It matches the Rfam family "Bacterial small subunit ribosomal RNA", at positions 15 to 235 of the family's 1533-position model. The record is from RNAcentral.
GAUCAUGGCUCAGGAUGAACGCUAGCUACAGGCUUAACACAUGCAAGUCGAGGGGCAGCAUGACGAUAGCUUGCUAUUGUUAAUGGCGACCGGCGCACGGGUGAGUAACGCGUAUCCAACCCGCCCUUGUCCAUCGGAUAACCCGUCGAAAGGCGGCCUAACACGAUAUGCAGUUCUCAGCAGGCAUCUAACGAGAACGAAAUGUGAAGGAGAAGGAUGGGGAUGCG